Long non-coding RNA from Oreochromis aureus, 2793 nucleotides. NCBI's taxonomy places the organism in Eukaryota, Metazoa, Chordata, Actinopteri, Cichliformes, Cichlidae. The record is from Ensembl.
GAAAGACAAAGCAAAACCACGUAGCUGUGACUUCAAAGCGGCUGCAGGAAGGUUUAGCUUACACGUGAGACGUGUUCCAGCUUUGAUGCACAAACAGUUUGUCACCGUGAGAGUCAUCAACAGACAAAGUCAUCACAAAGGUCCUCAUCCGAAGCCUCAAGCAGCAGUUUGGAUAAACCAGUCAUUUUGGCAGCACGUGGCCUUGACAGAGCUGCAGUCAUCAAAGGUAGGCCUGCAGGAAUAAACCUUUCCCGAUGUCUGUUCGGUGGUGUAGCAGCCAGUAACUGGACUAAACACUCAUCAGAUAUAAGAAAAAAAGACUUCUUCGUUAGCUGUCCUAAGUUUGGAGCCAGAUGACACUGAUCACCUACAAAGCAAGACCGUGAUCAAAAUUACCAGAAAUGUCAGCUAACAUAGUAACCAACAAGAAUGCCACAGGAAUGAUAAUGAUAUUCUCCAAACUUCUGGAUUUCUGAGAAAGUGAUCUCGGCUGUACAGUUCAUGUGCUGGAGGAGGAAAAUAGUGGUGCUGUCAACGGCAUGGAAAGGACGAGGGCACAAUGGUAAAGUGCUGCCAGAGCGAUGGUGGCUGAGACGCAGCGGAGCGGAGGUAGAGACAAUUCAUAAUGGAUAUAAGGAAAUUUUUUCAAAAAAAGGAGCCACAUUCAGGUAAAAGUGUAAAAUCAAAUGAUCAGUCAAUAAAGGAUUAUGUUGGAUCAGUUUUUCAAUAUUUAUAUCUUUUAUUAGAUGUUCAUGUUGUUUGGUUAUUUGCCUUUUGGUUGAAAGUACACUGAGAGAGGACUUUUUGUUGGUGAUCUUAAUAGCAUUUUUUUCAUAUUAAUGUAAUUUUUUCAUCUAAUUGAAUACAAUCUAUUUGUGUAUGAUUGUCAGUCCAAAGAGGGAGAGAGGAAAGAGGGGAACAUGAGGAGAAAGUACAAGGUCAGGAAGAACCAGGUAAGAAAACAGACAGGGAACAGUGACAGGCAAAACAGAAACUGUUAAACUGACAAAGAGAAAAAACCUGAUUUUACUCAUACAGUCUGGAAGUUGUGUCCUCCCUAUAUUAAAGCUGCUAUACAGAAUCUGCAAAACAAACUGGGUUGAAACAUUUUUGACCCUCUUUAACAACAUUCCAACAUAACAUUAUCAUUGAUUGGGGAGAUUAAAAUUAAUGACAUAUUUUUAUGUGGUUCAGCCACAACUCUACUAACAUCUCAGCCAGUAAUAGUUAGGCCAACUCUUGGACCGCCCAGUUGUCUGUAUGACUGCAGUACGUGCACCACAUUUGCGCACUGAAUCAGAAAGUGACAAACAGCCCUGGUGGAGUGAGGAGCUGUAAAGAGAAGCAGAGUGCUCUGUUUAUAUUCUAAAAGUGUUUUAAGCUAGCUUGUUUCAAAGAUUCUGUACUGCAGCUUUAAAUGUUUUCCAAAAGCACACAUACACUUAUCAGUGUUUCUCAAACUUUUUACAGUGUGUACCAUUGGGAAAAUGUCAAGUUCUCCCAAGUACCACUAUGAAAGCAUGAAACUCAUAAAUCUUACAACACAAAAUUAGUCUUAUUGAAUUAGUCAAAUUAGUAUCGGCAGUAAAGAUUUUUUCAUAUAUUGUAUACAUUCUACCACAGGCAAAGUUGCCUCCAUUUUUAUAUUUUUUAAUUAAUAUUUUGUAAUAAUUUAUUUGUAAUAACUUAUGUUUUGGGAGUAUUUUUUUAUGUAUCUGUAUUAUAUUAUACAUACUCAUUAAAAGUGAAUCUCUGUCCAAAAUAUGCACUCAGUUUACUUUUUACUCACUAUGAGCAUCAUUCAUUAUUCUCCCCCAGUAAUUAAGGAUAGGAUAUGGUUUUUUUUUUUAUUCCAAUCCAUUCUUCUUUUGCAGCAUUUAAAUAACCUUUAUCAGAUUUGAUGGUUUUGUUACAGCCUUUUAAAAAGGUGUUUUGCUUUUCUUUCACAAAUGUGGGGAUUAAAUUGUGUUAAAAUGUACAAAACAGUGAUGUCAUGUUUUGUGACGAGGACCCAGGCACAGAGAGACUUGAUGAAUUUAAGAAUCUUAUGAUUUAAUAAAGAAAUUUACAGACUUGCACAGAGAUGGUAAAAUUAUGAUGACUGAUAACAGAGACGAAGACAACACACAGCGAGGACUGGGAGAAACAGGGGUUUAAAUGCACCAAGGAGACAGUCAUAGAGAACUCGGGACAACUGGAGACAUUUAAGUAUGCAGGGACUGACAGAGACGGGGAAGAAGUCUCAUCGUGAUGUGUAAAGUUUAUUUUGCCUGGCUGGGCAGCUCUCUGGGUGCUCAGCACCCCCAAAGCUCUGAUCCUAGAAUCGCCCCUGACUACAUCCAGGACAGAAACAACUGCAUUAUGCUGCUAACACAACUUUGGCUUUUUGCAAGCACCUGCACAGACAGCAUGCUAACGCUAAUCCAGCCAAGAACUCAGAAUGAUGUUAAAGCUGAGUGAAUGGCGACCCCAGCCCAGCAGCCAGACGCUAAAGUUUAACAGGUAACAAAAGCAGUGAUGAGCAUUCAGACUAUAGCCUCCAUUUCUACCUGCUCAUGUUUCUAGAUUAGAAUCACUGCGGCAGUCACUUUUAAGAAAAGUGUUCUGUGUAAUAAAUUACUGUUUUGAGUAACAAUAAGUGAUUAGUGAUAUUGAAAAUGGAAUCGGAAUUAUUCGAUUCUUAUCUAUUCCUGUCCCCACACAGUGCUGUUCAUUCUUUCUGGCCAGAUAGACUGUUUGUCCUUGUUAUGUUUAAUCUGUUUGUCUCCUUUGUUCAUUUAUUUUUUAGUCAAG